CCUACGGGUGGCAGCAGUGGGGAAUAUUGGACAAUGGGCGAAAGCCUGAUCCAGCCAUGCCGCGUGUGUGAAGAAGGCCUUCGGGUUGUAAAGCACUUUCAGUGGGGAAGAAAGCCUUGGGGCUAAUACCCUCGAGGAAGGACAUCACCCACAGAAGAAGCACCGGCUAACUCCGUGCCAGCAGCCGCGGUAAUACGGAGGGUGCGAGCGUUAAUCGGAAUUACUGGGCGUAAAGCGCGCGUAGGCGGUCUGAUAAGCCGGUUGUGAAAGCCCCGGGCUCAACCUGGGAACGGCAUCCGGAACUGUCAGGCUAGAGUGCAGGAGAGGAGGGUAGAAUUCCCGGUGUAGCGGUGAAAUGCGUAGAGAUCGGGAGGAAUACCAGUGGCGAAGGCGGUCUUCUGGACUGACACUGACGCUGAGGUGCGAAAGCGUGGGUAGCAAACAGGAUUAGAUACCCUUGUAGUC
Molecule: ribosomal RNA, 465 nt
Filed under: Vreelandella stevensii
Lineage: Bacteria; Pseudomonadati; Pseudomonadota; Gammaproteobacteria; Oceanospirillales; Halomonadaceae
Description: partial 16S ribosomal RNA
Rfam family: Bacterial small subunit ribosomal RNA
Source: RNAcentral